RNAcentral lists this long non-coding RNA (869 nucleotides) under Monodelphis domestica (gray short-tailed opossum). Its description in RNAcentral is "lncRNA (ENSMODG00000050722.1)". Lineage: Eukaryota; Metazoa; Chordata; Mammalia; Didelphimorphia; Didelphidae. The record is from RNAcentral.
ACAGAAAGCUUUAUUAUAUUCAUGGGGAAUUUCAUGAGAAUCCCAAGAAGAGGAGAAAAAGACUUCUAGGAAACGAGUUCUGGAAUUUGAUCAUAAUAUGACUGUGAGUUUUCAUUUUGGGAUCUCUUUCAAGAGGUGAUUGGUAAGAAGUAAAGUUAUGAUGGCGGUAUAGAAGGAGCAGAAGUUUAGACCUCUGAAAACUCUUCCUUACCGAUCACAAACUGAAUGCUCCUAGGGGACUGAAAAUCAAACCUAACAAUAAGACAGAGCCAAGGAACCCUCCUGCUGGACUCAACUCAAAAGACUGCACCAAGAGAUCUUCUAUCAAAGCUCCAAGAGGGGAGACUAACAGAAGCCCCCAAAACCAAAAAAAUGAGAGGAGCAAAGAAGAGGCUAGGAGCUCCUUCUCCUGAGGUUCCUCAUUGCUAAUCAGUUGAUUAGGUAAGCCUGGCCUGUCUCUCAAUCCACUGAGCCACCUCCUUAAAGUAAAAGGAGAUGGAAAUGAGACAAAGGGGAGAAAAAAAAUCCUGUUGACCCCAAUUUAACUUAAGGAGAAAGGGGAAGAGAGAAAAGGUGUUUUAUACUCACCUGCUCUGGCAGCUGUGUCUUUAAGCCAAGGUAUUUGGUAAAAGAACUGACGGAGUGAGUAAUAAGUGGGGUGAAAGGGCAAGAAAAUUCAGGAAAUUUAUUGAGGUUCUAGAAACCUUCGAAGCACUAAAGCAGGGCCAAGAGCCGGAGGGGGUAGCCGGGGUGGGACCUCUCCCAAGUGAUUAGUAUGGAGAUCAGAAAGGAAGAUCAGAAGAUUGAUAUAGUUCUUUUUCCCGAAGUGGUUACGCCAACUGUAAUGGUGAAAAUUUCACCUUUUUUAA